AUUUACUCUCAUGCUUUCUGCAGCAGCCCUGAUGAUCACUGGAUCCUUUACUGAGCUAAUUUAAGUGCUUGUUCUAAUAAGGAGAUCUGUUCCAAAGCUGGAAGCUGGCUCCUGUCUUUGAGAUGCUGUGCAGUGUUUCUUCCUGUAGGUAGGAAGAUGUAAUUUGACCUAGUCCAGCUGAGGGAAAAAAAAAGCAACGUUCAGUCAGAUGAGCUCUGCUGGCUUUGGCAUGAGGUGGAAAUGGCUGCGAAUAGUCAGGCCCUCACCAUGGCCUUCUAAUGCUUGAAAAUAUUUGAGAUUAGGCAAUGUGGUUUCAUUUGAAAACGUUUACUGGUUUGAAGUACUGUUCCAUUCUUCAAGAGGAAUUAGAAGGUCAGAGAGCUCGACAUACGCUUCUGCACCAAGCUGUUGCAUUGAGAAAGACUUUCCUGUUUGUUGAGGUCAUUUCCUGGUCUGUUUUCAGCUACUGACAGAGGAGUGCUCCUGGUCUGUCACUGACCACCGGUGGAGAAGGUUCUUGGUUCUGCCAUGCAGUUCAGCAUGCUUGGGCUGGGUUCCUGGGAGGGGCAGGUCACGGUGUUCAAGGCCCUGUGCACUCAAUUUUUGGAAGCAUUUGAUGUGCACUGAACAUAUUGUGGAAAGAGUAAGAACCAGAGAAAGGAAGAGAAUCAUUCCUUUAUAUGAGAUUACAAAGAGCACUGCACUGUACAAAGGCAAAUUUACUUAGCUGCUGUCAAAAGAAAUUUCCCCUUGGCUUUUAUACUCCCCCUGCUCUGCUGCUGCUCAGAUGCUGCCUUCCUGAAACUACCAGAUGUACCGAUCUCACUCGAUACAUGACAGCUGAGAUUCUGGUUCUGCCUGCCUUUUCCUGAAGGUGCCUAUGAGAGACACUGUUGACUUCUGUGAACUUUGGAGAUGAUCAGAACUAUACCUGCUGAAGCAAUCUGGAAAGUGGAGGUCCUACUUCUUACUUUGUGUGGGUGCAGGCAAGACCAGACUCCAAUGAAUUAGGGCUAACAGUAGUAAAGCUCAAGAGGAGAAGAUUUUCACCAAGUGACUUGUCUAUUAAUUGCAAUGCAAGUGUAAGGCCCAUGAGGUGAUGCUGGCUGCAUGCAGUUGCAAUAAAUUUAGAGUGCUGAGAAGAGUGUUACACUGAGAGGUAGAUGCCUGACAACCAUGCAAUUUUUUUUUCUGUCUUCUGCAGCACUGUGUAAAUUAUGUAUAGCAGCACAUUAUUCCUGACAAAAUAUUUGUGUCAAGGUAUUGCUCCUUGUAAAUCAUCCAAUAAGGUGAGAAACAGAUGUGUGUGUUGCUAAGACAGGCUGUGCAGGUCCCACUGAAGAAAAGGAUCCGAGACAUCUUGACAAGUUUGGGAAGUUCCAGGUUGCAUUACACCUUGUGCAGUAAAGGUAUAGUAUUUUGGGUAUGGGGCACCCUUGUUUAAAAUCUUCAGCUGUCUCAGUUCAUCCUAGUGGAAACCUGGUGCUGGAGUCAGUGUGCUACAGCUGUUCCUUUGGCUCGGCUCUGGCAGGGGUUCCUGGCUCUGCUUGGAUUCCUUCCAAACACUUUUGCGCUUUCCGUUCUCUAGAGGAGAAGGUGUAUGUAGAAACACCCUCCUGUCCAUUGUUUCCCUAGUCAGAAGCAUUGUAAAAACCACAAAUAAAAUGUUGCCUGCUGAUUUCAGACCUGCAGUGUGCAGCAGACCAGCAGGUACCCUUGCUACAGGAUGUUUUAGCUCCAGCUGAUAACUGCUCCACUGAUUUUUUAUAUGUGAUUUGGGAAGAGACAGAGCCCCUGUAUGGGCUAGCUCCCUCUCCAAUGCAGUGAAAGUGGUGGUGCAGAAAAGCAGUGGCACUUGUGCUGGUGCUUUGAUGCAUUUUCUUAAAUAAUAAAAAAAAAUCAAUUUUGAGGAAACUAAGCAAACCUGGUAGUGCCCUGGCUGUGGUCUUGCAGUGACUUUAAGGAGCUGGGCGUCUACUGUCUUAAUUCUUCCCAUUGCAGCUUUUUCCAGCUCUUUCCCAGAGCUGGAGUAAUUACCUGCUUUGGGUGCCAGUGAUAUUCAUAACACGAGGUCCAAGUACUUCGACCACUGUCACAAGAUUGGUCAUCCAAGAACAAUCGAUUCCUGAAUGGGCCUGAACUUUGGGUGACCUGAAAUAUAGCAGCACGUAUUACUCGCUGAGACAUCUGGUGGACAAUAAAACUUUUUUUAUUUGUUUUUACAUGAAGCAGCUGUACUUGAGCAGAUGACUAGGGGCUGUGCAAUCAAAGUGUGAAUAGCUGAAUAAGCAAAUCAUAUUAGGCUUCUUAGGCUCUUAUUUAAAUGCUGCAUGUUCCUUUUUAAUUUUGCUUUAUUAACAUCUACCAAAAACACAGCCGUGUUGGCAUUAUGCUUAUUAGUGACUUAUUUGCUUCAUUAAAAUUUACAGCACGUUUUACAUUUGCCAUCUGGGACAGCUUCUCCCAUGUUUAUGGUUAAAAUGUAACUUAAAACCAAGCCUAUCGGUCUAAAACAAAGGAUUUUAUAGAUACAACUCUUUUGUCAGAUGCCAGUGAUAACUCUUUUCUGUAGCGUUAUUGUGGGCAAACAGUACACUAAUUUGCACAGUCACCGUGCUACAACUUAGUGCUAGGAUACAGACAAGUAUUUGUGCUUUCAGUAAAAGAUGUUGUAUGUAAGGAAGAGGUUGAUAGUACUAUUACUCGGAAAGCCACAGCUUAUGGAGUAUGGAGAGGGAAUUAGAGGAACUUCAGACUAAAAGACCUUCUGGGUCACUGAGUCGAAAUCCCUGCUAUUGCAAGUAACUACCUCGGAUAAUCUCUUUCCGAAGAGUUGGAGAAAGAAUAAACAGUGCAAGAGAAAUGUGAAUGUGCUGAAAGGCAAUACAUAUGAACACAGCUCAGAACCUGAGCUGAUGAGCCUCUGCAGUUUCCAGAUGUGAGCUGCCUUGCUGCUAACUACUUCAGAGUGUGGGCACAGCAGUCCAUGUCUGUCUUUGCUUUACUAUGUACACACAGCUUUUCAUUCUUCCUCCUUUUUUUCUGCUUUUCUUUACUGUUGAGUAAUGAAGAUGGGAAACCCACUUUCUUUUUAUUCUGUGUGAAUUUGAAAAAGUUGCGUGCUGAGGGGUCAGAGUGAAGGAAGGAGGAGACAAGCAUGUGAUAUACUUGUACGGAGAACAUAUGCCUUCCCCACCAUUUUGAGUCUGAGAGAGAAGUCAAUUCAAAACAGUAUUUUUCUUGAAGUUGCCAGUAGGGAUGUCAAACAUUAAAAUUUCAUUCACUGUUUGAUUUUUUUUUCUUUUUUUAAUUCCCCAGAGGAAAUGUUCAUUCUCCACAAAACCACAUGAAAAAUAAAUAAAAAAUUGAGUGCACAGCAGCAUUGUGAGUGCCCAGAUCUUCCUCAAGUCCCUGCCUGAAAGUAUAUUUCUUAUAUGGGACAUCCAGACAUACAGAAAUAGACUUAGAAUUGUUUGAGUUGGAAGGGACCCUUAAUGGCCAUCUGGUCUAUCCCCCUUGCAGUUAAGUUGGACAUCUGCAGCUAGAUCAGGUUGC
Molecule: long non-coding RNA, 3555 nt
Organism: Numida meleagris (helmeted guineafowl)
Lineage: Eukaryota; Metazoa; Chordata; Aves; Galliformes; Numididae
Exons: 9
Source: RefSeq, a predicted model, not a curated record